UGGGGCCUGAGGGGAAAGGGGAAGGGGGCGACGGGAGGCCCGGAGGGCGGGAAAAGGCGGUGGCCUCCCCUCAGCCUCGUGACCCCAAAGGGAAUCGAUACUAUUGAUCGAUCGAUUGAAGCCCCCGGGUCGGGGAGGAGGGGAGCAAACCCCCAGGGGCCAUGAUGGUCUUCUGGCGUUUCUCUGCCAGGGUCUGCCUGGCCCCAUUAAGGGGCUUCGAGGCCCGAAGGGGCCGAGGGGCGGCGGGACGCCGGCCCGAUGAGGCGCCCGCCCUGCGCUUCUCACAGGCUUGGCCGAAGCUGGCGUUGGCCUUGUGGGGGAGCAGAGAGGAUUCUGGGAGGGAGCCACACUCCCCGGCCGGGGCCGCCCCGGCCGGGACCGGCUCGGAGCCCACCGGAGCCCCGCUCCUGGGCCGCCUCCUCCGGCAGCUGGGCCUGGGGCUGCGCCUGGGCCUGCGGGCCUGCGUGCUGCUGCUGAAGUUCGCGCCCCUGCUCUUGGCCUACCCCCUCGCCCGCCUGUCGCCCCGCCUGUCCUCCCUCUGGCUGCGCCUGCUGCUCAAGGCCGCCGAGUCCUCGGGCCCCACCUACAUCAAACUGGGCCAGUGGGCCGGCACCCGGCGCGAUCUCUUCUCGGAGGAGUUCUGCGCCACGUUCUCCCGCCUGCACGUUCGCGCCGCCCCGCACCCCUGGGCCCACACCGAGCUGGUCCUCCGGGGCGCCGUGGGGGAGGACUGGCGGCGGGCCCUCCGCUUCGACAGCGAGGAGCCCGUGGGGGCCGGCUGCGUCGCCCAAGUGUACAAAGCCUACGUCAGCGUUGACCGCCUGGAGGACCCCCGCUCGGGGUCGGGGGCCCGGCCGGGGUCGGGCCUGCGAGGCCUCUUGGGGCGUCUGUGGGCGGGGCAGAAGCUGGAGGGCGCUUGGCCGGAUCCCCCGUCGCCCGAGGCGCAGGGGGCCGGAAGCCCCCCGGGCAGAAACCCCUCGCCACCCCCAGCCUGCGGGGCUGAGCCGGACCACCGGAUCCCGGUGGCCGUCAAGGUCCUGCAUCCCGGCCUGGCUCAAAAAGUCCACAUAGAUUUACUGCUGAUGAAGAUGGGCAGCCGCGUCCUGGGGCUGUUGCCAGGGGUCAAGUGGCUCAGCUUGACGGAGAUCUUGGAGGAGUUUGAGAAGCUCAUGAUUCAACAGAUCGACCUACGCUAUGAAGCCUGGAACCUGGAGCGCUUCCACCACAACUUCCGGCACGUGGACUUCGUCCGGUUCCCCACCCCCCUGCGGCCCUUCGUCACCAGCAGCCUCCUGGUGGAAACUUUUGAAGAAAGCGUGCCCGUCUCCAGCUACCUGCCGUUGGCCGUUCCUCCGGAGCUCAAAAGGAAAAUAGCCAGGCUGGGCAUCGACAUGCUCCUGAAGAUGGUGUUUGUGGACAACCUGGUGCAUGCUGACCUGCACCCCGGGAACAUCCUGGUCCAGGGCGGAGAUAGCCCGGGUGGGAGCAGGGUGGACCGGCCGGGCCCGGCGGGUGCCCGCAAUCCCCCGGUGGCGGCCGCGAAGCCGCCCGCUCCCCCCCUGCGGCUGGUGCUGCUGGACGCGGGCAUCGUCGCGGAGCUGCAGGAGGCCGACCGCGAGAACUUCCGCGCCGUCUUCCGGGCCGUCGUGUUGGGGCAGGGCGAGAGAGUGGCCGAGCUCAUCCUGCACCAUGCUCGGGCCAGCGAGUGCCGCGACGUGGAACGCUUCAAGGCUGAGAUGGCGGACCUGGUGACCCGGGCCCGGGAGAACACCGUCUCCCUGGGCAAGCUCCAGGUGGCUGACCUGCUGUCCAGUGUCUUCAAGCUGCUGAUGACCCACAAGGUGAAGCUAGAGAGCAACUUUGCCUCAAUGGUCUUGGCCAUCAUGGUGCUGGAAGGGCUGGGCCGCUCCCUGGACCCAGGGCUGAACAUCCUGGAGGCCGCCAAGCCUCUCCUCAUCAGAAACUCAACUGCUGCACUCUAGGCGGGGGGCAGGGGAGCAGGAGGUGGGCCUGGAACCUCGUUACCCGUGUCCCUCUCUGGCCACAAGACCCUCUCCCCGGGUCUACCUUCUCCCCGGGCCUCCGCUCUCCACUUCCAGCCCAUCGCUGGCCUCGGGCAGUUCUUUCAUGGUUAAGAACGAGCGAGUACUGGAUCAGCGUGCCGGUGGACAGACGUCGGUUGAGCCCCUACCAGGGGGCCGGGCUCUAUACUGGGGGCUCAGGGUAGGCGCCGGAACCCAAAUGCAGUCCCGAGACCGAUCAUCCAGACUGGAGCUCUCUCCCAUCUUCUCCCUUCCCCCCAAUCGUGGCCAAAGGAUUUUGGAGGAACCGGGCGAGGAGCAAGAACUGCAGAGAAAAUGGUCGAAGCUACCGACGCAGAAAAAUCAGCCAUUUAGAGUCCUUUCCCUGGGCUUAAAAUGGUGGCCGGCUAAACUCUGUCAUGGCCACACUGCCUGCCUUGUAACCUCAGUCCAGCAGCACACCCGGCUCCUGGGAAGAGGAGAAGGAACCACCUUGGUGUGAUUGGAAGGAAACUGCCCCGCAGCACCCCGAUCCUGCCUGAACCAUCUUGGGAGAGUGAAGGCAGAUCCACUUGGAUGAUGAAUUUAUAGACCUCGCUUGGAAAGGAAACUGAAUUUUCCAUUUCUCCAGGGCUUUUGGACGCAGUGUCACCCACACAGUCACCCACCCGCCCACCGUGGGGAUGGGAACCCGCAGGUACCACCAAUCCGAGCCUCGCUCCCACCAGCUACGCACCGGGGCUCAGUGCCUGUGAGGGCCCGGUUCGGUCGGCAGAUGGUAGGAUAUAAAUGAAUGAACAGAAGUGUGCGACUGAAA
Ornithorhynchus anatinus (platypus) is the source of this 2838-nucleotide RNA transcript. It is a transcript of the gene named aarF domain containing kinase 2, with no coding region annotated. NCBI's taxonomy places the organism in Eukaryota, Metazoa, Chordata, Mammalia, Monotremata, Ornithorhynchidae. The transcript has 9 exons. The record is from RefSeq and is a predicted model, not a curated record.